RNAcentral lists this small RNA (128 nucleotides) under Marmota monax (woodchuck). The record is from RNAcentral. Lineage: Eukaryota; Metazoa; Chordata; Mammalia; Rodentia; Sciuridae.
GCUGGGCACAGUGGCGCAUGCCUGUAAUCCCAGCAGCUUGGGAGGCUGAGGCAGGAGGAUCUUGAGUUCAAAGCCAGCCUCAGCAAACUUAGUGAGGCCCUAAGCAAUUCAGUGUGACCCUGUCUCUA